This 1137-nucleotide unclassified non-coding RNA is filed under the name Hevea brasiliensis (rubber tree). The record is from RNAcentral. Lineage: Eukaryota; Viridiplantae; Streptophyta; Magnoliopsida; Malpighiales; Euphorbiaceae.
UUUUUUUUUUUUUUUUUUGUGGAAUUAACUUUCUGAAGGUAUUAUGUUUUAAUUUGAAUAUGAAAUGCAACUAAGCCAUUGUUUUGGCCAUUCUCUGUCUGUUCUUAUUCGGUUUUUUUGCUACUGGCUGUUAAUCCCAAAUGUUUUUUGAUUUAUGGUCAUUUAUUUCAAAAUGAUGGACAUCUGAGAGUUUGUGUCGUGAGAUUGAAUGUAGGAAUUCCUUUUAAUUCCUAGAGGUCAUUGUUUUCAUUUUGGUCAUUAUUGUAAGAUAAAACACAAUAGAUUUUAAGUGCUCAGAUUUCUAGAGCUGCCUGUGGCAUAUGAGGAUGCAAGUGAGAGAGUUGAUAUCGUUGUGCUUGAUCUUGUGAUUUUUCAGUUGACAAAAAGGAGCUAAUAGCUCGUAGGGUGUUCAAGUAUUCCUGAUAUGAUAAAACCUGGUGGCAAAAUGAAUUAAUUGCCUAAAUUUUGGUUUUUGGAUGGUUUUUGUGAGUAAGAUCCUGAAUUCUGCAUUCGAUUUUGUUUGGCGAAGUUUAUACACUCAUGGUACAAGGGAGAGGCAAGAGAGAAGCGGAGAAGGGGGGAGAGGCUGGAAGAGAGGCGGAGAGGGAGAGCCCUAGUUCAGCUUUUGGUCUGGUUUUAAGAACGUUGUAUCUUAUCUAGAAGCUUUAGUCAGUAAUCUGAAGGGAAGAUGGUAUUUUUAACCGAGUAGAAUUUACCAAUUUGUUGGAAUGUUCCCCCAAUCUUUCCAUUUUUGUGGGGAUUGCAUGUAUUAUCAAGACUAGAGGAAAUGGUUUUAUUGGGUACAUUACAGAGAGCAUAUAAUCAAGACAACGAGAUGAUUUAAUUUAUAUAACAGUUAUGAUGAUCAGGAUUGGGAUUGCCAAAAUAGAUUUGUGUCGGAUCUGGGCAAUUGAUUUGAGAUUUUCAAUUCAUUUUAGUUAUAAACCAUCCAUCAUCAGUAUCAUAUCUUUUUCUUAAGAAGCAGAGAUGGAAGUGUCAUAUGCAAAAGAAAUAUGUUUACUUUUCCAUCAAAUAAACACUUCUCUAGAUUCUAAUUUUGUAUGUGUGAUGGGCAAUUUGUCUGCCUGUUUGCUAAUGAGCAGGUGUAAUAAACGCAGCGUUGAAUUGGAGAUGAAC